RNAcentral lists this ribosomal RNA (465 nucleotides) under uncultured bacterium. Its description in RNAcentral is "partial 16S ribosomal RNA". It matches the Rfam family "Bacterial small subunit ribosomal RNA", at positions 28 to 507 of the family's 1533-position model. The record is from RNAcentral.
GACGAACGCUGGCGGCGUGCUUAACACAUGCAAGUCGAACGGAAAGGCCCUGCUUGCAGGGUACUCGAGUGGCGAACGGGUGAGUAACACGUGGGUGAUCUGCCCUGCACUUCGGGAUAAGCCUGGGAAACUGGGUCUAAUACCGGAUAGGAGCCAUUUUUAGUGUGAUGGUUGGAAAGUUUUUUCGGUGUAGGAUGAGCUCGCGGCCUAUCAGCUUGUUGGUGGGGUAAUGGCCUACCAAGGCGGCGACGGGUAGCCGGCCUGAGAGGGUGGACGGCCACAGUGGGACUGAGAGACGGCCCAGACUCCUACGGGAGGCAGCAGUGGGGAAUAUUGCACAAUGGGCGCAAGCCUGAUGCAGCGACGCCGCGUGGGGGAUGACGGCCUUCGGGUUGUAAACUCCUUUCGCUAGGGACGAAGCUUUUUGUGACGGUACCUAGAGAAGAAGCACCGGCUAACUACGUG